RNAcentral lists this ribosomal RNA (468 nucleotides) under uncultured bacterium. RNAcentral describes it as "partial 16S ribosomal RNA". It matches the Rfam family "Bacterial small subunit ribosomal RNA", at positions 28 to 507 of the family's 1533-position model. The record is from RNAcentral.
GACGAACGCUGGCGGCGUGCUUAACACAUGCAAGUCGAACGGAAAGGCCCUGCUUUUGUGGGGUGCUCGAGUGGCGAACGGGUGAGUAACACGUGAGUAACCUGCCCUUGACUUUGGGAUAACUUCAGGAAACUGGGGCUAAUACCGGAUAGGAGCUCCUGCUGCAUGGUGGGGGUUGGAAAGUUUCGGCGGUUGGGGAUGGACUCGCAGCUUAUCAGCUUGUUGGUGGGGUAGUGGCUUACCAAGGCUUUGACGGGUAGCCGGCCUGAGAGGGUGACCGGCCACAUUGGGACUGGGAUACGGCCCAGACUCCUACGGGAGGCAGCAGUGGGGAAUAUUGCACAAUGGGCGGAAGCCUGAUGCAGCAACGCCGCGUGCGGGAUGACGGCCUUCGGGUUGUAAACCGCUUUCGCCUGUGACGAAGCGUGAGUGACGGUAAUGGGUAAAGAAGCACCGGCUAACUACGUG